RNAcentral lists this long non-coding RNA (336 nucleotides) under Capra hircus (goat). Its description in RNAcentral is "lncRNA (ENSCHIG00010003440.1)". Lineage: Eukaryota; Metazoa; Chordata; Mammalia; Artiodactyla; Bovidae. The record is from RNAcentral.
AAGCCCAAGAAUACUGAAGUGGAUAGCCUAUCCCUUCUCCAGGGGAUCUUCCUGACACAGGAAUCAAACCAGGGUCUCUUACAUUGCAGGUGGAUCCUUCACCAGCUGAGCUAUCAGGGAAGCCCAUGAUGUCACAGAAGAGGAAAACAAUUCCAAGAGGAUUUUGCAAAUUAUAUGGGAGGUCAAUUCACUCUUCACCAGUGUUUAAUUCAACCUGAGGAACCAGGAACUGAGGAGGAAGGAAGUAAUUGAUAUUCAAAGCCUCUAUUUUUAGACACCUUUACACUUUUCUUUUGCGUCUAACUAGCAAGGAUUUUUCCAAACAAGCUUUUAAUU